Molecule: ribosomal RNA, 253 nt
Filed under: uncultured bacterium
Lineage: Bacteria
Description: partial 16S ribosomal RNA
Rfam family: Bacterial small subunit ribosomal RNA
Source: RNAcentral
UACGGGGGGGGCAAGCGUUGUUCGGAAUUACUGGGCGUAAAGGGCUCGUAGGCGGCCAACUAAGUCAGACGUGAAAUCCCUCGGCUUAACCGGGGAACUGCGUCUGAUACUGGAUGGCUUGAGUUUGGGAGAGGGAUGCGGAAUUCCAGGUGUAGCGGUGAAAUGCGUAGAUAUCUGGAGGAACACCAGAGGCGAAGGCGGCGACCUGGACAAGUACUGACACUCAACUACGAAAGCGUGGGGAGCAAACAGG